RNAcentral lists this ribosomal RNA (253 nucleotides) under uncultured bacterium. RNAcentral's name for it is "partial 16S ribosomal RNA". It matches the Rfam family "Bacterial small subunit ribosomal RNA", at positions 524 to 776 of the family's 1533-position model. The record is from RNAcentral.
GACAGAGGGUGCAAACGUUGUUCGGAAUCACUGGGCAUAAAGCGCACGUAGGCGGUCUGUUAAGUCAGAUGUGAAAGCCCCCGGCUCAACCGGGGAACUGCAUUUGAUACUGGCAGGCUUGAGAACGGUAGGGGUGAGUGGAACUCCAGGUGGAGCGGUGAAAUGCGUAGAUAUCUGGAGGAACACCGGUGGCGAAAGCGGCUCACUGGACCGUCACUGACGCUGAGGUGCGAAAGCUAGGGUAGCAAACGGG